Long non-coding RNA from Oreochromis aureus, 259 nucleotides. RefSeq lists it as uncharacterized. The record is from RefSeq and is a predicted model, not a curated record. Lineage: Eukaryota; Metazoa; Chordata; Actinopteri; Cichliformes; Cichlidae. The transcript is spliced from 3 exons.
AUGCAAAACCUCAGCCCCAUACAGGAGCUGUCAGAUGGCAGUCCCGAUGAGGACACCCCUCAGCCCUCAACUCUGCCUCUCAGGAGCUCCAGGAUCUGCAGGCAUCUCGCCAAAGAAGCCACCAGCGUCUGGAGGAGGUUCAGGAGAGGCUGAGGAAUGCCAGUCAACAUGUACGGCACUGGAACAUCCAGCUGAACCGACUGAUGACCCCCAUUACUCCUGCAGAGCGACUGGAAAGUCGGCUGUUAUCAAAGCCCAC